Brassica napus (rape) is the source of this 1574-nucleotide long non-coding RNA. RefSeq lists it as uncharacterized. The transcript is spliced from 2 exons. NCBI's taxonomy places the organism in Eukaryota, Viridiplantae, Streptophyta, Magnoliopsida, Brassicales, Brassicaceae. The record is from RefSeq and is a predicted model, not a curated record.
GAAUGAUCUACUCUACACUACAAGAAAUAUGAGUAUUGGUAGCAGUUCGUGGUAGCACAAAUUCACCAACUGCUACCAAAAGUGCCAAAAUCAGAUCACAACUCAAUCGUAGCAUUAAAUUCGUGCUAUGAAAAUUUUUUAUUAAGCGGAAACGCAAAAUUCAGUUUUGUAGCUAAAAUGUUAUUUUGGAGGGUAAAACACUUAACGAAAUUUCACAUUCCCACCAAAAAAUUAUGUUUUGGUAGAAAUGGUUAUUUUUUUGCCCAAGUCAUUUUCAUUUUACAAAGAAAAAAAAAACUUAUUGAUUUUCUCUAUCAUCGUCUUCAUUGUUUAUUUGACUCAAUCUAUCCAUUUCGAUCGAAGAAACACAUAUGGAUUGGUCUUGUUCAAAGUCGAACUCAGGAACCCUAAUCUGUCAAGCCGCUGGACUCUUCUUCUUCGUCAUACACAAACUCCUCCAUCCACGGCGAAUUGGCUCCUUCACCUUCCUCCGCUGCUUUUCACCACCAUCACAUUUGCCGCUUCUUCUUAAUAUUCCCUUUGUUUUAUCAAUCUCAAUUGCACAGAAAUCAAAACUCUAGAGGUCAUCGACCUAUAUCCUUUGACAAGGUAUGGCUCAGCGUGAAGACGUUUAUGACAUUGAUAGCCCACUAGAUUCCAGGUUUUCUUCUACUCCAAUGCUCCAAUUUCAAUUGGGUCUAUAAAAAUCUCCCUUUUUUGUUGUUUAGUCACACUUGUUCAGUUUUCACGAGUUUCUUUUGUUCGAUUUCGCUGACAAAACCCCCUUGAUUUUGUUCAAUCGAUUUCGGCAUGACUGUUUAUGUUCAUUUCUAUUAAAAAUCUCUCCUUUCUGCUGUUUCCUCUUGACAAAACUCCACCUUGAUUUUGUUCACUUACUAUUGUAUUUGUUUACGGUAUGACCAGAACUGGAUUGUUUAUGUUGGAUUAGCAGAAAAAGUUUGUCUUUUUGGUGUGUGAUUCUGAUUGUUUCUCUUCUAUUGAUUUAUGCAACUGGGAACUGAGUUCUGAUAUGCGUUUUCUGUGAAAAGUUUUACCAUUUUAAUGAUGCCUCAAGGAGUUGUACCAGUUCAGGGAUGGACCCCUACACCGUAAGUUAUGUCAUACCGGAACUGAUCACAGCAACUACAGAAACUUGCAGCAAAACGAGUCAGGCUAAUCUGUCCUCUUGACGGGAUCUAUGCAUUGUUCUUCCUUGAAGGUCCUCACACAAGAAGAUGAGAAUGGAAACGUCAAACUUGAGUGUCUCACCAUUAGUAAACAACAGUUUUAAGCUGGGAGAUUUCACAUUGACUCACGGAUGACAGCUACUAAAGAUGCUGAUCGCAUUGCUGCGCUUGAUGUUCUUCGUAUUAUCAAUAAGCCUACUGCUACUUCUUUGGUUUAUGCUUUUGAAAGGAGAAGCAAUUAAAUAAUUAUUGUCUUUGAUCUUGGUGGUGGUAUCUUUGAUGUCUCUGGUACUUUACAUUAAACUGUUGCUAUAUAUAUAUUAGUUUGAUAAAACGGUUACAGUUUUGUAAAAGAAUUUUGAUUUAUAAAAACUCAAUUGCAAUGUA